AGUAGGAUAGCUGGGUCAAAUGGUGGUUCCAUUCCAAGUUUUAUGAGGAAUCCCCAUACUGCUUUCCAUGGUGGUUGCACCAAUUUGCAGUCUCACCAGCAAU
RNAcentral lists this microRNA precursor (103 nucleotides) under Marmota monax (woodchuck). Lineage: Eukaryota; Metazoa; Chordata; Mammalia; Rodentia; Sciuridae. The record is from RNAcentral.